UACGUAGGGGGCAAGCGUUGUCCGGAAUUAUUGGGCGUAAAGAGCGUGUAGGCGGUCCGGUAAGUCAGCUGUGAAAGUCAAGGGCUCAACCCUUGAAUGCCGGUUGAUACUGUCGGGCUAGAGUCCGGAAGAGGCGAGUGGAAUUCCCGGUGUAGCGGUGAAAUGCGCAGAUAUCAGGAGGAACACCAAUUGCGAAGGCAGCACUCUGGGACGUGACUGACGCUGAGACGCGAAAGCGUGGGGAGCAAACAGG
This 253-nucleotide ribosomal RNA is filed under the name uncultured bacterium. RNAcentral's name for it is "partial 16S ribosomal RNA". It matches the Rfam family "Bacterial small subunit ribosomal RNA", at positions 524 to 776 of the family's 1533-position model. The record is from RNAcentral.